GUCGAACGCUUCAGCAAUGAAGAGUGGCAGACGGGUGAGUAACGCGUGGGAACCUUCCCAGUGGUACGGAAUAGCCCAGGGAAACUUGGGGUAAUACCGUAUAAGCCCUUAGGGGGAAAGAUUUAUCGCCAUUGGAUGGGCCCGCGUCGGAUUAGCUUGUUGGUGAGGUAAAAGCUCACCAAGGCGACGAUCCGUAGCUGGUCUGAGAGGAUGAUCAGCCACACUGGGACUGAGACACGGCCCAGACUCCUACGGGAGGCAGCAGUGGGGAAUAUUGGACAAUGGGCGCAAGCCUGAUCCAGCCAUGCCGCGUGAGUGACGAAGGCCUUAGGGUUGUAAAGCUCUUUUGGCGGGGACGAUAAUGACGGUACCCGCAGAAUAAGCUCCGGCUAACUUCGUGCCAGCAGCCGCGGUAAUACGAAGGGAGCUAGCGUUGUUCGGAAUUACUGGGCGUAAAGCGCACGUAGGCGGACUUGUUAGUCAGGGGUGAAAUCCCGGGGCCCAACCUCGGAACUGCCUUUGAUACUGCAAGUCUGGAGUCCGGAAGAGGUGGGUGGAAUUCCUAGUGUAGAGGUGAAAUUCGUAGAUAUUAGGAAGAACACCGGUGGCGAAGGCGGCCCACUGGUCCGGUACUGACGCUGAGGUGCG
Molecule: ribosomal RNA, 648 nt
Filed under: uncultured bacterium
Lineage: Bacteria
Description: bacterial SSU rRNA
Rfam family: Bacterial small subunit ribosomal RNA
Source: RNAcentral